RNAcentral lists this ribosomal RNA (402 nucleotides) under uncultured Rhizobium sp. RNAcentral's name for it is "bacterial SSU rRNA". It matches the Rfam family "Bacterial small subunit ribosomal RNA", at positions 353 to 772 of the family's 1533-position model. Lineage: Bacteria; Pseudomonadati; Pseudomonadota; Alphaproteobacteria; Hyphomicrobiales; Rhizobiaceae. The record is from RNAcentral.
AGUGGGGAAUAUUGGACAAUGGGCGCAAGCCUGAUCCAGCCAUGCCGCGUGAGUGAUGAAGGCCUUAGGGUUGUAAAGCUCUUUCACCGAUGAAGAUAAUGACGGUAGUCGGAGAAGAAGCCCCGGCUAACUUCGUGCCAGCAGCCGCGGUAAUACGAAGGGGGCUAGCGUUGUUCGGAAUUACUGGGCGUAAAGCGCACGUAGGCGGAUAUUUAAGUCAGGGGUGAAAUCCCGCAGCUCAACUGCGGAACUGCCUUUGAUACUGGGUAUCUUGAGUAUGGAAGAGGUAAGUGGAAUUCCGAGUGUAGAGGUGAAAUUCGUAGAUAUUCGGAGGAACACCAGUGGCGAAGGCGGCUUACUGGUCCAUUACUGACGCUGAGGUGCGAAAGCGUGGGGAGCAAA